GAUGAACGCUGGCGGCGUGCCUAAUACAUGCAAGUCGAGCGAACGGACGAGAAGCUUGCUUCUCUGAUGUUAGCGGCGGACGGGUGAGUAACACGUGGAUAACCUACCUAUAAGACUGGGAUAACUUCGGGAAACCGGAGCUAAUACCGGAUAAUAUUUUGAACCGCAUGGUUCAAAAGUGAAAGACGGUCUUGCUGUCACUUAUAGAUGGAUCCGCGCUGCAUUAGCUAGUUGGUAAGGUAACGGCUUACCAAGGCAACGAUGCAUGGCCGACCUGAGAGGGUGAUCGGCCACACUGGAACUGAGACACGGUCCAGGCUCCUACGGGAGGCAGCAGUAGGGAAUCUUCCGCAAUGGGCGAAAGCCUGACGGAGCAACGCCGCGUGAGUGAUGAAGGUCUUCGGAUCGUAAAACUCUGUUAUUAGGGAAGAACAUAUGUGUAAGUAACUGUGCACAUCUUGACGGUACCUAAUCAGAAAGCCACGGCUAACUACGUG
This 497-nucleotide ribosomal RNA is filed under the name uncultured bacterium. Its description in RNAcentral is "partial 16S ribosomal RNA". It matches the Rfam family "Bacterial small subunit ribosomal RNA", at positions 28 to 507 of the family's 1533-position model. The record is from RNAcentral.